This 472-nucleotide ribosomal RNA is filed under the name uncultured bacterium. RNAcentral's name for it is "bacterial SSU rRNA". It matches the Rfam family "Bacterial small subunit ribosomal RNA", at positions 8 to 524 of the family's 1533-position model. The record is from RNAcentral.
AGAGUUUGAUCCUGGCUCAGAACGAACGCUGGCGGCAGGCUUAACACAUGCAAGUCGAACGCUCGUGGCAACACGGGAGUGGCAGACGGGUGAGUAACGCGUGGGAACCUACCCUUUUCUACGGAAUAACUGAGGGAAACUUCAGCUAAUACCGUAUACGCCCUACGGGGGAAAGAUUUAUCGGAGAAGGAUGGGCCCGCGUCUGAUUAGCUAGUUGGUGAGGUAACGGCUCACCAAGGCGACGAUCAGUAGCUGGUCUGAGAGGAUGAUCAGCCACACUGGGACUGAGACACGGCCCAGACUCCUACGGGAGGCAGCAGUGGGGAAUAUUGGACAAUGGGCGCAAGCCUGAUCCAGCCAUGCCGCGUGAGUGAUGAAGGCCUUAGGGUUGUAAAGCUCUUUCGCCGGUGAAGAUAAUGACGGUAACCGGAGAAGAAGCCCCGGCUAACUUCGUGCCAGCAGCCGCGGUAAA